Molecule: non-coding RNA, 136 nt
Organism: Triticum aestivum (bread wheat)
Lineage: Eukaryota; Viridiplantae; Streptophyta; Magnoliopsida; Poales; Poaceae
Source: Rfam
CAAAUACUCCCUCCGUCCGAAAAAUACUUGUCCUCAAAAUGGAUAAAAGGAAAAGUAUCUAGACGUAUUUUAGUUUUAGAUACAUCUCUUUUUAUCCAUUUUGAUGACAAGUAUUUUCAGACGGAGGGAGUAGAAA